Oenanthe melanoleuca is the source of this 512-nucleotide non-coding RNA. Lineage: Eukaryota; Metazoa; Chordata; Aves; Passeriformes; Muscicapidae. The record is from the annotation of a RefSeq genome assembly.
CAACCCGGCACAUCCCGGCCAUGGCCUCGAGCUCCCUCCCGCUCCUCGCCCUCCUGGCCCUGCUGGCCCUGCCAGGGCUCCGGGCGGCCGUGACCCUGCUGGAGUCCGGGGGGGACCUCCAGCCCCCCGGGGGGUCCCUGACUCUGCUCUGCCGCUCCUCUGGGUUCAAUUUCGGGAGUUACGACAUGUACUGGAUCCGCCAGAGCCCCGGGAAGGCGCUGGAAUGGGUUGCAGGGAUCUACUACAAUGGUGCCAACACCUACUACGCGCCUUCAGUCAAGGGCCGGUUCACGAUCUCCAGGGACAACGGGCAGAGCUCGGUGACGCUGACCAUGAACAACCUCAAGGACGAGGAUUCCGGCGCCUAUUUCUGUGCCAGAAAUUUCGAUGGUGGUUAUGUUGCUGCUGCUGUUGGUUUGAUUGACGAUGCAUGCUGUGUUUCCACGCCCCCGUUACUGGAUCCCCAGAUGUCCCAAAAUUCCCACCUUCUUUUACCAAAUCCCAGCCCUUAG